UAAAGCGUGCGCAGGCGGUUUUGUAAGUCUGAUGUGAAAUCCCCGGGCUCAACCUGGGAAUUGCAUUGGAGACUGCAAGGCUAGAAUCUGGCAGAGGGGGGUAGAAUUCCACGUGUAGCAGUGAAAUGCGUAGAUAUGUGGAGGAACACCGAUGGCGAAGGCAGCCCCCUGGGUCAAGAUUGACGCUCAUGCACGAAAGCGUGGGGAGCAAACAGGAUUAGAUACCCUGU
Molecule: ribosomal RNA, 230 nt
Filed under: uncultured bacterium
Lineage: Bacteria
Description: partial 16S ribosomal RNA
Rfam family: Bacterial small subunit ribosomal RNA
Source: RNAcentral